This is a long non-coding RNA of Pogona vitticeps (central bearded dragon), 1227 nucleotides long. RefSeq lists it as uncharacterized. The record is from RefSeq and is a predicted model, not a curated record. Lineage: Eukaryota; Metazoa; Chordata; Lepidosauria; Squamata; Agamidae.
AGCAGGAUUUGGAGGGUCCGACGAGGAAUGUGUUGUUUUGAUGUGCCUGCCUCUUUAAUUCCUCCCCCCCCUCCAAGUUUAUUUGGUGGAGAUGGGACUGUGGGGCAACUUUAAAGGGAGUUAAGCUGAGGAAAGGAGGUGUCAAAACUGACACCCCUCCGAAAGGGAUCAAAACCGAGCUUCUCAUGGAAUCUGGGCAAACUUUGCAGACAGAAGAAAUCAACAGGACGGAUUUAGCAGCUGCCAGCUUAACCAGCAACAUACAGUUCCCAGUGACUGGAGAGCCAAAGAAUGAUGGAGUUAAAGCAGGGAAGAGGAACUUUGGCCCAUGUUUCUAACUUGGCUUGCAAAGGUUUCUCAUCCAGUUUGCAAAGCUUCUUCUGCUCUUCUCUCCGAUCCAGGAAUAGAGAUUGGCGCUAAAAGUUUAUAUAUACAGUAUGUAGCCCUGGAACGGUUUGCAUGGAGCAGGAGCUUUGAUUUGCAGGCUGGUGAGAUUAGCUACUAAAGUGUGGCCCACUGCUAAAUUGUACACUUGGUUCACUGACACAACCUUUGCUGAGACUGCUCACAAACUGCCUUCUUCAUAAGGCAAAGCCACUCUGCUGGAUCUGAAAGGAGAAGUUGUCAGCAAUGGUAGAGGACUCUUCCUAGGCAAUCCUCAAGUCCUUGAGAAUGACCAAACUGAUAUCAGAAGUCCAGCACAAUAACUGAAUCAUCCAUGCCUAGCAACUAUGAGACAUGAGAUUUCUGUAGACUACAACUGAAGUUAAAGUUUACAUGGAAAAUAUUUCACAAUCUGUCCAAAUUUGAUAUGUACAAUUUCAUUUUCUUAAAAAAACACAAACCACUCAGAAUUGAGUGCUUCAGAGUAUAAAGAGAUAGUGAAGAAUGGGGCACGGGGUUAGACUUCAGGAAACGAGAACACAACCUCCCUUCUCUGUUUUAUAUUCACUGGUGUCACUUAAUUUAUUUUGAUUACUGUUAGCAUCGGGUAUGGCAUUUCGUAAGUUUUCAGCUCUCCAAUACUAAUGCUACUACAUGACAUCUAUCAAAUAGUGUCAUAGGCAUUGCGCAUCAGCUUUGAAACAUGAGGGCCCACUGUCUCUUUGUUAUCACAUCCUCUCUUGCACUAACACUGCUGCUUGGCAUUUAACUCAUCCUAUAUGGUAUGCCACUGCAUGAGAACUAUUAGAAAGAAUCACACAUUAAAUACUAUGGCAUACUAAA